Molecule: long non-coding RNA, 1378 nt
Filed under: Daphnia magna
Lineage: Eukaryota; Metazoa; Arthropoda; Branchiopoda; Diplostraca; Daphniidae
Description: uncharacterized LOC116933730, transcript variant X3
Source: RNAcentral
GGUAGGAGACGAAAGCAUUAUCAAUCUUUACCACAUCGUUUACUUUUAUUUUUUAUAUCCUUCAAGUAUUUUAUUGACCUCUAUUGGUUCUAUUUGUUGAAAAAGUAAGUCUGGUGGGAUAAAGAGGGUAAUAAAAAUGUUGGAGAUCUCUCUUGUAUUCAAGAAAAUAUUAUUCCAAAUUUAGAUCUCUGAAAAGAAAAUGUAGUUGAAUUAAAACACCAUUUGAAGGAAGACAUUAAUUUUGAGUUGGUUUCUGAACCAGAAUGGAGUACUUGUUCAGCGGUACCAGCUUGCUCCUGGAAAGGACCUGUAGCCUGAAUGGUAUUUGUUUAAUACAAAAACAGAAUGAAUUGAUGUCUACUUUUUGAAGGAUUUAGAGGUUGUAGACUAUGGAAUAACGACCAGUUAUCUGUGAGAAGAAAUUCACCUGACCAACCUUUAAAAAGCCUAAGAUCCUGAGAAUAAGAAAACAGGUAAAGAUAUUAAGGAACGACAAUAUUCUAGCUGUUGAAAAAUCCUUCAUGAAAUAUUUAAAAUAUCUGGAAAUAGCCAUAGUGAUCUAUGAAGGACAUCAGACAAUCAAGCUAAGAAAAAAUUAUCUAUGAAAAAGCAGUCAAUCCAGGAAGUAAGUUGAAUAACAAACCAAACCUGGGUGGCCAAAGUAAAGAACAAGAGUGGAACAUGACCAAGAAAGUCAUAUUCAUGAAUCCCAAAGGCAUCUUAUUCAUCAAUGUAGAUGCUGAUAUUUCUUCCAAAACAACAAUGAACUAUCUUGUAUGGAGAUCAAUGGCAUAUGUUCUGUUACUAAGGUGUUAUAGUCCAACCUUGUUGGAUCCCCUUCGAAGCUGAAUUUAAGCUAGAAGCUUUCACUCAAACAAAGUAACUCGAUAAAUCAUUUACUCAAACUCAUCUUAACAGUUUGUUUCUCUGCCUUUCGUCAAUCUGCGAGUAAAUCCCGAGUUUCAGCAAAGUAUAACAAAAAGUUUCCUAUCUUGGGAAUCAAGCAGUAAAACAUCCUUCAUCCGCUUCACAAAUGCGAAAAUCUCAUUUGUGUCCAAGUUGGUCUGCUGUGGCUGAAGCGUUGGCAGUAUCCUAAUAUGACAUGCGGUAUUUCCCCGCCAGACGCGUGGAGGAGCUACGGUAUACGAAUAUUUUCAAAGUGGAUUUACUACCUAAAGACAUCAUUUGCACCCCCAUAAACUAGUUAGGGAUAUUAGGAUACUGCCAGGAAAUUUACAGAACAAAUAUGCAAUUGGCACAAUAACUUUUAUCUUUAACCUAAGUUAAAAAACUAAAAACCCUAGGCAAAAAUUAAGAAUUCUCGUUCAAUUUGGAAUAGAAAUUAUGUAUUUUUAACUAAAUCUAGAUUUUUGCCAAA